AGAUCCACCCUGACGACGAGUGGCGAACGGGUGAGUAAUACAUCGGAACGUGUCCGCUCGUGGGGGACAACCAGCCGAAAGGUUGGCUAAUACCGCAUGAGUUCUACGGAAGAAAGAGGGGGACCCGCAGCCUCUCGCGAGCGGAGCGGCCGAUGACUGAUUAGCCAGUUGGUGAGGUAACGGCUCACCAAAGCAACGAUCAGUAGCUGGUCUGAGAGGACGACCAGCCACACUGGGACUGAGACACGGCCCAGACUCCUACGGGAGGCAGCAGUGGGGAAUUUUGGACAAUGGGCGCAAGCCUGAUCCAGCUAUUCCGCGUGUGGGAUGAAGGCCCUCGGGUUGUAAACCACUUUUGUAGAGAACGAAAAGACAUCUUCGAAUAAAGGAUGUUGCU
This 397-nucleotide ribosomal RNA is filed under the name uncultured bacterium. Its description in RNAcentral is "bacterial SSU rRNA". It matches the Rfam family "Bacterial small subunit ribosomal RNA", at positions 76 to 479 of the family's 1533-position model. The record is from RNAcentral.